RNAcentral lists this ribosomal RNA (253 nucleotides) under uncultured bacterium. RNAcentral's name for it is "partial 16S ribosomal RNA". It matches the Rfam family "Bacterial small subunit ribosomal RNA", at positions 524 to 776 of the family's 1533-position model. The record is from RNAcentral.
UACGGAGGGGGCUAGCGUUGUUCGGAAUUACUGGGCGCAAAGCGCACGUAGGCGGCUUUGCAAGUUAGAGGUGAAAGCCCGGGGCUCAACUCCGGAAUUGCCUUUAAAACUGCAUCGCUAGAAUUGUGGAGAGGUAAGUGGAAUUCCGAGUGUAGAGGUGAAAUUCGUAGAUAUUCGGAAGAACACCAGUGGCGAAGGCGACUUACUGGACACAUAUUGACGCUGAGGUGCGAAAGCGUGGGGAGCAAACAGG